UCCGGUUGAUCCUGCCGGACCCCACUGCUAUCGGGGUGAGGCUAAGCCAUGCAAGUCGAAGGUCCCCAGCUUCCGGGGGCCUGGCAGACGGCUCAGUAACACGUGGCCAACCUACCCUAGGGAGGUAGAUAACCCCUGGGAAACUGGGGUUAAACUACCAUAGGAGGCGGGAUCUGGAAAGACCUGCCUCUGAAAGUGGUGUACAGGGAUGCCUGUACACCAGCCCUAGGAUGGGGCUGCGGCCCAUCAUGGUUGUUGGUGGGGUAACGGCCCACCAAGCCUAUAACGGGUACGGGCCCUGAGAGGGGGAGCCCGGAGAUGGACUCUGAGACAAGAGUCCAGGCCCUACGGGGCGCAGCAGGCGCGAAAACUCCCCAAUGCCCGAAAGGGUGAGGGGGUCACCUCGAGUGCCACCCUCGUGGUGGCUUUUGCGGGGUCUAAAAAGCCCCGCGAAUAAGGGGAGGGCAAGACGGGUGUCAGCCGCCGCGGUAAUACCCGCUCCCCGAGUGGUGGGGACUAUUACUGGGCUUAAAGCACCCGUAGCCGGCCGGAUGUGUCUCCCGUUAAAUCCACGGGCCUAACCCGUGGGCUGCGGGAGAUACUAUCCCGGCUUGGGGGUGGGAGAGGGCGGCGGUAUUCCCGGGGUAGGGGUAAAAUCCACUGAUCCCGGGAGGACCACCGGUGGCGAAGGCGGCCGCCCAGAACACGCCCGACGGUGAGGGGUGAAAGCUGGGGGAGCAAACGGGAUUAGAUACCCCGGUAGUCCCAGCUGUAAACGAUGCGGGCUAGGUGUCGGGUGGGCUACGGGCUCACCCGGUGCCGAAGGGAAACCAUUAAGCCCGCCGCCUGGGGAGUACGGCCGCAAGGCUGAAACUUAAAGGAAUUGGCGGGGGAGCACCACAAGGGGUGGACGUUGCGGCUUAAUUGGAGUCAACGCCGGG
Molecule: ribosomal RNA, 941 nt
Filed under: uncultured archaeon
Lineage: Archaea
Description: bacterial SSU rRNA
Rfam family: Archaeal small subunit ribosomal RNA
Source: RNAcentral